GAUGAAGAACGUAGCGAAAUGCGAUAACUAGUGUGAAUUGCAGAAUUCCGUGAAUCAUCGAGUCUUUGAACGCACAUUGCGCCCCCUGGUAUUCCGGGGGGCAUGCCUGUCCGAGCGUCAUUGCUGCCCAUCAAGCACGGCUUGUGUGUUGGGUCGUCGUCCCCCCCUCCGGGGGGGGGACGGGCCCUAAAGGCAGCGGCGGCACCGCGUCCGAUCCUCGAGCGUAUGGGGCUUUGUCACCCGCUCUGUAGGCCCGGCCGGCGCUUGCCGAACGCAAAACAACCAUUCUUUCCAGGUUGACCUCGGAUCAGGUAGGGAUACCCGCUGAACUUAAGCAUAUCAAUAAGCGGAGGA
RNAcentral lists this unclassified non-coding RNA (354 nucleotides) under soil metagenome. RNAcentral describes it as "partial contains 5.8S ribosomal RNA, internal transcribed spacer 2, and large subunit ribosomal RNA". The stretch from base 1 to 120 matches the Rfam family "5.8S ribosomal RNA", at positions 35 to 154 of the family's 154-position model. The record is from RNAcentral.